Lolium perenne is the source of this 741-nucleotide non-coding RNA. The record is from RefSeq and is a predicted model, not a curated record. Lineage: Eukaryota; Viridiplantae; Streptophyta; Magnoliopsida; Poales; Poaceae.
GGAAAAUGUAUAUUCACUUCUCUGUUCCCUGUACCACUCUGCGAAUUCACUGAAAGGAUUCUCCAAAAGGAGAAUUAGCGACAGAAUUAGGCGGACAAUGAGUAUCCAUUUAUGGGUACAUCUGCGAGCAUAUACUUGAUAUCAGUACUUACCAUGCAGGUCUAGCAUUUGACAAAUCAUGAAACACCCUUUUAGAUUUGUCUGUAUAUUUUACUGCAAGUUUAUGCAUUUGCUACUCGAAUUUGCACUGUUAAACUAGAGACUAUCAUUCUACACAAAUAUGUUCCUUGAGAAAAUAUCAAAUACACCCUUUAUAGAUCUGUCUACAUAUUUUACUGCAAGUUUAUGCAUUUGCUUCUUUAAAUUGCACUGUUAAACUAGAGUCUACCAUUCUACACAGAUAUAUUCUUUGAGAAAAUGUCAAUUUUGUAACGCACAUAUAAUUUUCAGAUCUAUCGGGAUGGUGGAACUGGAUGCAACCUUCUGCGCUAUGUUAAUCAGAACUCAAGAAACUAAGAUACCACAAUGCAAAGUACGACAGGGAAGUGCUCGAUGUCAUGUGUGUUAGCCGAGUGUCCGUCGACAUGGCGGGAGGGGUCGGUGUCGUGUCCACUGACCAAGUAGCAAAGAGUAGCUCCACCAUGAAGGAAACAAUAUUGCAUUACAUGAAAACAACCAUUAGCGAACCAGCGAGGUGGAGUUGCGCAAUGACCGACACGUUCACCUCUUCAUGCCAGGGGU